This 215-nucleotide non-coding RNA is filed under the name Proteiniphilum saccharofermentans. The record is from RNAcentral. Lineage: Bacteria; Pseudomonadati; Bacteroidota; Bacteroidia; Bacteroidales; Dysgonomonadaceae.
AUCUUUGCCUUGAAUUUUGGUGUUAUUCAUUUCACACGGCUUCGAAAUGAAUGAUGAAAAGGGAAUCAGGUGCAAAUCCUGAACAGACCCGCUGCUGUAAGCUCCGCUUACGUGCUGGACAAAAACCUCAAUUGCCACUGUCCCGAUAAACCGGGAUGGGAAGGCGUUCAGACACGGGAGUAAGUCAGAAGACCUGCCAGAAAUAUAUAGAGUUU